This 253-nucleotide unclassified non-coding RNA is filed under the name uncultured bacterium. RNAcentral describes it as "contains 16S-23S intergenic spacer region". It matches the Rfam family "Bacterial small subunit ribosomal RNA", at positions 524 to 776 of the family's 1533-position model. The record is from RNAcentral.
AACGUAGGACACAAGCGUUAUCCGGAAUUACUGGGCGUACAGGGCGUGCAGGCGGUCUGAUAAGUUAGGCGUGAAAGCUCCCGGCUAAACCGGGAGAGGUCGUCUGAUACUGUGAGACUAGAGUAUGGUAGAGGCGUGUAGAAUUCCGCGUGUAGUGGUGAAAUGCGUAGAUAUGCGGAGGAAUACCAGUGGCGAAGGCGGCACGCUGGGCCAUAACUGACGCGGAGACGCGAAAGCAUGGGUAGCGAACGGG